CAUCUGAACAGGGAGCACCGGGCAACCACAAACCCCCAAGCUCGAGGUGCCUGACAACUUGAUGCAAAGAUGGGAGCUGACUGGAUGGAGGAGUGUGAAGUUCAGACGACCAGCCGAGGUAUCUGAACAGAACCACUAAGGACAGAAAUGGUCAGAUCCCAGGAUUCCCCUUGUGCGGCAGUGAGCCGAGCCUGUGUGAAGGGAGAGAACCUCAGACUCCUCCAGAUGGGAAGACGGAGUAGGAAAAUUGCUGGGAGGACAUGCUACUCAGGGCCUUUGCAAGAUGCCGGCCUCCUGAUGAAUAUUAGCUCAUGGCAGAAAGAAGAAACGCUCUGUGGUCUUCAAUGACAGCCACCUCAGCGAUUAGAGAAGAGAAAGUGACGAACUCAAGGCUUCUUCAUCAAUGGGCUCUGCCAGUAAGCCAAUAGAGGGCUCAGUGGCCAUUACUGACCCUCCCAGGAAAGCUUCCAGAGUGGAGACUGAAGAAGCAUGGCACAGACACACAGCAGUAUAAUUCAAGCGACUAAAAUAAACUCAGCGAGCCUGCCUCGUCUCUAAACACUGCAUACAUUUAAGUGCUAUUUUGACAAGAGAGCAUGGUGGCUUUUUAAGAAUUUAAUUUUUCAAACUCCGGUACAAUUCUGUUCUUCUAACAGCAUCCCCCGGUGUCUGUGUUGGCUCCUAGUGAGAUCAUUAUGAAGUGAAUUGAAUUAUUGUUCUGUUCAAAUGACCUGUGCGUUCAACAAUGUGUGCUGGGCACCAGAAAGAAGUGUUUUAUGUAUUAUUGGGAGAUGGCCAUCUGUGGCACAAACCAGGCCUUCCAACAUGCAGAAAUGUUGCGAGAUAGUUUAUGUUCAGUUUUAUCUAUGAUCUGAAUUCCAUUUAUAAGCUUUUUCAGCCACUUGUCAACACUGUUCACUAUAGCAACACUGAAAAUGGCCAGAAAGGAACAGAUUUAUCAAAGCUUGGGAGGUUGGACUGUAUGUUUCAAUUAUUGUAUAUUGGAUUUUUAUCAUACAUUUAAAAUUCUGUCCAUAAAAAUAGUAACAAUGUCAUAAAAAUGGAAGUAGUUUUCUUUGAUCAACUUCCAAUUAUUAUAAGCCACAAAAUGAACAAGCUAGAUUUCAUGACUUUUAUUAGAUAAUGGGUCUCACAUUAUAUAUGUAUAUUUUAAAUAUAACAUUAUCUGUCGAUGCCAAGGAACAUGGAUUAAUUUUUUUCAAAUCUGGAAAACAUUCCUCUCCCCUUUCCUGCAUAUGCGAUGGAACAGCAUGGCAAUGUGUAAAAUUAAAUUUUAAAAUUGUGGAAUAUAUUUAAACCAUACCCUCCCAACCUUUCCCUAUCUUUUUAAAAGUAAACUUUUGUUAAUACCGGGGGAAUGUUGGACCAAAUGUAUGUUUUUAUAUAAAGCAAAUAUACUUGGUUAUCUAUAUCAUAGAAUUAAAAGACUUUCAGAUA
Molecule: long non-coding RNA, 1458 nt
Organism: Peromyscus californicus insignis
Lineage: Eukaryota; Metazoa; Chordata; Mammalia; Rodentia; Cricetidae
Exons: 3
Source: RefSeq, a predicted model, not a curated record